ACAAGCGGUGGAGCAUGUGUUUAAUCGAAGCAACGCGAAGAACCUUACCAGGUCUUGACAUCCCUGACAACCCGAGAGAUCGGGCGUUCCCCUUCGGGGGGACAGGGUGACAGGUGGUGCAUGGUGUCGUCAGCUCGUGUCGUGAGAUGUUGGGUUAAGUCCCGCAACCGAGCGCAACCCUCGACCUUAGUUGCCAGCAUUCAGUUGGGCACUCUAAGGUGACUGCCGGCUAAAAGUCGGAGGAAGUGGGGAUGACGUCAAAUCAUCAUGCCCUUAUGACCUGGGCUACACACGUGCUACAAUGGGCGGUACAAAGGGUCGCGAACCCGCGAGGGGGAGCCAAUCCCAAAAAGCCGCUCUCAGUUCGGAUUGCAGGCUGCAACUCGCCUGCAUGAAGCCGGAAUCGCUAGUAAUCGCGGAUCAGCAUGCCGCGGUCGAAUACGUUCCGGGCCUU
RNAcentral lists this ribosomal RNA (454 nucleotides) under uncultured Anoxybacillus sp. RNAcentral describes it as "bacterial SSU rRNA". It matches the Rfam family "Bacterial small subunit ribosomal RNA", at positions 925 to 1382 of the family's 1533-position model. The record is from RNAcentral. Lineage: Bacteria; Bacillati; Bacillota; Bacilli; Caryophanales; Anoxybacillaceae.